Molecule: ribosomal RNA, 497 nt
Filed under: uncultured bacterium
Lineage: Bacteria
Description: partial 16S ribosomal RNA
Rfam family: Bacterial small subunit ribosomal RNA
Source: RNAcentral
GAUGAACGCUGGCGGCGUGCCUAAUACAUGCAAGUCGAUCGAACAGAUGAGGAGCUUGCUCCUCUGACGUUAGCGGCGGACGGGUGAGUAACACGUGGAUAACCUACCUAUAAGACUGGGAUAAAUUCGGGAAACCGGAGCUAAUACCGGAUAAUAUAUUGAACCGCAUGGUUCAAUAGUGAAAGACGGUUUUGCUGUCACUUAUAGAUGGAUCCGCGCCGCAUUAGCUAGUUGGUAAGGUAACGGCUUACCAAGGCAACGAUGCGUAGCCGACCUGAGAGGGUGAUCGGCCACACUGGAACUGAGACACGGUCCAGACUCCUACGGGAGGCAGCAGUAGGGAAUCUUCCGCAAUGGGCGAAAGCCUGACGGAGCAACGCCGCGUGAGUUAUGAAGGUCUUCGGAUCGUAAAACUCUGUUAUUAGGGAAGAACAAAUGUGUAAGUAACUAUGCACGUCUUGACGGUACCUAAUCAGAAAGCCACGGCUAACUACGUG